AUACGGAGGGUCCGAGCGUUAAUCGGAAUUACUGGGCGUAAAGCGCGCGUAGGUGGAUGUAUAGGUCAGAUGUGAAAGCCCUGGGCUCAACCUAGGAACUGCAUUUGAAACUGUACGUCUAGAGUAUGGUAGAGGUGAGUGGAAUUUCAGGUGUAGCGGUGAAAUGCGUAGAGAUCUGAAGGAACAUCAGUGGCGAAGGCGACUCACUGGGCCAUUACUGACACUGAGGUGCGAAAGCGUGGGUAGCAAACAGGAUUAGAAACCCUAGUAGUCC
This 274-nucleotide ribosomal RNA is filed under the name uncultured bacterium. RNAcentral describes it as "partial 16S ribosomal RNA". It matches the Rfam family "Bacterial small subunit ribosomal RNA", at positions 523 to 796 of the family's 1533-position model. The record is from RNAcentral.